CCACAUUUCAGUAGGGGCUACCAUAUUGGACACCACAGAUAUUAAACGUUUCCAUCAUUACUGAAUGUUUUAUUGGUCAAUGCUCAUGGUUAUUUAUCUGAGAUCAUUGAUUUCUAAUAGAAGACGUAAUAAUUUUUUUUAGCAUCUACUGAUACACUAUAAUACAUUUUAUCAGUGGCAAAAACCUGUUCAAUAGGUCUCAGGUGGUAAGAGUGAACCUUUAUAAUUUUUUUUGGAGUUCACAGUUUUUUAAAGAUUUUAUUUUUUUCCUUUUUCUCCCCAAAGCCCCCUGGUCCAUAGUUGUAUCUUCUUUGUUGUGGGUCCCCCUAGUUGUGGCAUGUGGGACACUGCCUCAGCAUGGUUUGAUGAGCAGUGCCAUGUCCCCACCCAGGAUUCAAACCAACAAAACACUGGGCCACCUGCAGUGGAGCGUGUGAACUUAACCACUCAGCCAUGGGGCUGGCCCCUGGAGUUCACUUUUUGAUGAUUAUUCAAACCUGAAGAAUGGAGGCUGUCUUCAAACAAGCCCAACGGAAUUUGAGGAUGCCAGCACCUUUCCUACAUAUUUAAACUUAUCUGCAUUCCCGUUUCUGGAAUACCCUAUACCUGCAUUCUAAGUAGACUCAUGGAAGCUUCAGAGGUCAUUUAACACAUAAUGUCUCAUCUGUACAUCUUGAAGUGGUGAGUGGCUUGCCUAAGAGAACACAGAUGCUCAGUGGCAGAGCCAGAACAUGAACUCAUGCAUAAUGACCUCUGUCAUCUGGGGCCAUCGUCUGAUUUGGUACUUGUGGUUGGUACAGACUCUCUGCGCCACACCUCAUUCCACUGUGAAAGCAUUCUCAUACUGCUUUUAAUUUCAUAACUGUUAAAAAUUAUUUGGCUACGCAUAUUUCAUGCACUAUCGAGUAAAGUGAAGAGGAGAAAAAUAAAGCUACAUAAAAAAUCCAAUAAGUAAUACAUUAAAUUUGAAAGUAAACUUUGUAUGAAUAAGUUCUAAAAUAAAAAUCUUAAAAUUUUACUAUUCUUAAUAUGAAUCUUUUGAUAUUCAUGAUAAAUUCUUAAAUAAAGAGAACAAGCAAAAUGCAGAUAUAUAAUAUGAUUCUUCUUUUUAG
This 1112-nucleotide long non-coding RNA is filed under the name Equus asinus (donkey). RNAcentral describes it as "lncRNA (ENSEASG00005030061.1)". The record is from RNAcentral. Lineage: Eukaryota; Metazoa; Chordata; Mammalia; Perissodactyla; Equidae.